UUAAGUUCAGCGGGUAGUCUUGCCUGAUUUGAGAUCACUGGGAUGAGGGGAUUGGUCGAUGAAACAGAAUUGCUUCCACCUCUCACGAACAACCCGUGCCUGAAUUCAAGACGAUCAGUGAUGAAGGUCCAUGUCUCGACCAACUGGGACCAACAACCAAGUGGAUGCGUGACCCGGUUAGAUCAAAGGGAUGAAUGAUU
RNAcentral lists this unclassified non-coding RNA (200 nucleotides) under Rozellomycota sp. Its description in RNAcentral is "Cryptomycota sp. partial internal transcribed spacer 2". Lineage: Eukaryota; Fungi; Rozellomycota. The record is from RNAcentral.